UAGGGUGUCUGGCGCCUCUCAGUGCCGGAAAGUUUAAGUCUUCCUGUGCAGAACUUUUACCAGCGGUCCGAAUUUAAUUCGUGACGCUGAGCUGAGCCUCAUUUUGUAUUUCUGUGAGGUGGAGGGGACCGUGAAUGCAGAGAAGCCCGGACGCUUACCCUAACCCGUCGCGCACGUCCCAGUCGCGGCUGCUGCCCUCACACCUUUCCUCUGGCUGUUGCAUUCGACUGCGUGGUUUCCAAAUAUUGACCAAGGGUAAGAGGUGGAUCUGUAGGAAAAUGAGGGCACAGAACGCCAAGGAUGGAGUGUGGUAGGAAAGAAGUGGCAAACGUCCAUGCUGCAGAAAUGCAACGCCUUUGGAAGUCUGAUCUCUGAACCAGCAGCAUCAGCGUCGCUGGGAACUUGUUAGAAACCACACGCUGGGCCUCAUGCCAGACUCACUGAACAGUAUGGUACCAGAGCAAAGAUACCCAAGAAGAUGAAUGGGACGGUACAGAGUCCAGACACAGACCCCUGGAUGCCUAGCCACAGUGAUGAUGAAGAGGGCAGCAGAGCAUCAGCUUUUCCAAAGAGAUAGAUGCUCCUUUGAAGUGCUGUGUCCUGGGUAGAGGGAUCCACGCCUGCUGUUGCCUCAAUUUUAAGUCCAUGAAGAGCCCGGGAUGGUGAUGGAUAGGACCUCUAUACCUGGUAUACGGACAUCCCUGAGGAGCUGGGUCAGUUGCAAAAAUGUCCUAUUUACAUAUUGCAAAGAAAAAAAAGCUAUUCCCCUUGUCAUAAAAGUUCACAUUCUUUACCCAUCCAAGAAAUCAGAGAUCAGCAAAGUUCAAGGUAGAGUCUCAAGAAAAAUCAUUGAUAUCUAGAAUAAAUCCUCCCUCAACUAACCCAGCGCUCCAUCCGUCAGAGGGUUAAGUGCCAGGUAUGGAAGAGAAUGGACAGGACACAUCCACCUAAAGGAACUACACCCCGUGGGCUCUGGAAUAUCAGUCAGCACUUCAAAUGUAUUCUGGUUGAUUUUUUCCACUAACAUCUGUGACAUCCAUCCCCAGGUAUGAGCACAUUUUCCAGGUUCUUUGGGUCAAGAAAAAUGCAUUUAUUUCCUUCCUCAAAAAAAAUGCAUUUAUUUCCUUCCUAACCCUAUAGCCUGCUACCACAUGACAUUCGCCAAAGGAAAACAUAAAGUGAAUCAUCUCUAUUUCAAACUAAGAGAAAGGACAAGGUCAGUAAGUAAAAAUUCUGAGUAGCAGAUUUUUUAAAUGUAAUUUUCUAUCAAAGACAUAAACUAAUGACAAUUAGAUGGUUCUAUCUGCACCAUGUAUAAGGAAUAUAAAACAUUGACUUAUAACCUCAACAUUCUUUUGACUACAGUCAUUGUGGUCAAAGAUGUAUAAAUUAUAAAUAUGACUCUUAAAAAUGCAACCAAUCUUUUCAGCAAAAACAAUUCUUCCAAGACCAUGUAAAAUGCCACUCCAGCCUGAACCAUGAAAGGUUUUGAUCUAGGUGUCUAGACAAAGAAGAUUUUGCUGCAAAUAAAAUCAUAAUUGAUCAGUCU
Molecule: long non-coding RNA, 1549 nt
Organism: Nycticebus coucang (slow loris)
Lineage: Eukaryota; Metazoa; Chordata; Mammalia; Primates; Lorisidae
Exons: 6
Source: RefSeq, a predicted model, not a curated record